CAGUCGCCGCGGUAAUACGUAGGGUGCAAGCGUUAAUCGGAAUUACUGGGCGUAAAGCGUGCGCAGGCGGUUAUAUAAGACAGAUGUGAAAUCCCCGGGCUCAACCUGGGAACUGCAUUUGUGACUGUAUAGCUAGAGUACGGCAGAGGGGGAUGGAAUUCCGCGUGUAGCAGUGAAAUGCGUAGAUAUGCGGAGGAACACCGAUGGCGAAGGCAAUCCCCUGGGCCUGUACUGACGCUCAUGCACGAAAGCGUGGGGAGCAAACAGGAUUAGAUACCCGUGUAGUCCCUGUCUCUUAUAC
RNAcentral lists this ribosomal RNA (301 nucleotides) under uncultured bacterium. RNAcentral describes it as "partial 16S ribosomal RNA". It matches the Rfam family "Bacterial small subunit ribosomal RNA", at positions 509 to 807 of the family's 1533-position model. The record is from RNAcentral.